GUACAUGCCUACAUCAUUAAUGCGCAUGAUCCUAUCAAAAAUCCACAUUUAAGUGCACAUGGGCUAGAGUAGUAUUGGGAUGGGUAACCUCUUGAGAGGCCCUAGUGUUUUAUGUGCC
Non-coding RNA from Picea glauca (white spruce), 118 nucleotides. NCBI's taxonomy places the organism in Eukaryota, Viridiplantae, Streptophyta, Pinopsida, Pinales, Pinaceae. The record is from Rfam.